This 69-nucleotide transfer RNA is filed under the name Marmota monax (woodchuck). RNAcentral's name for it is "tRNA.Ala". Lineage: Eukaryota; Metazoa; Chordata; Mammalia; Rodentia; Sciuridae. The record is from RNAcentral.
GUUUGUGGCUCAGUGGUAGAAUGCUCACCUUGCACGUGCAAGACCCUGGGUUUGAUCCUCAGCACCACA